RNAcentral lists this ribosomal RNA (448 nucleotides) under uncultured bacterium. RNAcentral's name for it is "partial 16S ribosomal RNA". It matches the Rfam family "Bacterial small subunit ribosomal RNA", at positions 328 to 792 of the family's 1533-position model. The record is from RNAcentral.
UCGCCAGACUCCUACGGGAGGCAGCAGUGGGGGAUAUUGCACAAUGGGGGGAACCCUGAUGCAGCGACGCCGCGUGGGUGAAGGAGCGUUUCGGCGCGUAAAGCCCUAUCGGCAGGGAAGAAGGAGGACGGUACCUGACUAAGAAGCCCCGGCUAACUACGUGCCAGCAGCCGCGGUAAUACGUAGGGGGCAAGCGUUAUCCGGAUUUACUGGGUGUAAAGGGGGCGCAGACGGCGAUGCAAGCCAGGAGUGAAAGCCCGGGGCCCAACCCCGGGACUGCUCUUGGAACUGCGUGGCUGGAGUGCAGGAGGGGCAGGCGGAAUUCCUGGUGUAGCGGUGAAAUGCGCAGAUAUCAGGAAGAACACCGGUGGCGUAGGCGGCUUACUGGACGGCAACUGACGCUGAGGCUCGAAAGCGUGGGGAGCAAACAGGAUUAGAUACCCUAGUA